This 467-nucleotide ribosomal RNA is filed under the name uncultured bacterium. RNAcentral's name for it is "partial 16S ribosomal RNA". It matches the Rfam family "Bacterial small subunit ribosomal RNA", at positions 28 to 506 of the family's 1533-position model. The record is from RNAcentral.
GACGAACGCUGGCGGCGUGCUUAACACAUGCAAGUCGAACGGAAAGGCCCUGCUUUUGUGGGGUGCUCGAGUGGCGAACGGGUGAGUAACACGUGAGUAACCUGCCCUUGACUUUGGGAUAACUUCAGGAAACUGGGGCUAAUACCGGAUAGGAGCUCCUGCUGCAUGGUGGGGGUUGGAAAGUUUCGGCGGUUGGGGAUGGACUCGCAGCUUAUCAGCUUGUUGGUGGGGUAGUGGCUUACCAAGGCUUUGACGGGUAGCCGGCCUGAGAGGGUGACCGGCCACAUUGGGACUGAGGUACGGCCCAGACUCCUACGGGAGGCAGCAGUGGGGAAUAUUGCACAAUGGGCGGAAGCCUGAUGCAGCAACGCCGCGUGCGGGAUGACGGCCUUCGGGUUGUAAACCGCUUUCGCCUGUGACGAAGCGUGAGUGACGGUAAUGGGUAAAGAAGCACCGGCUAACUACGU